Ziziphus jujuba (common jujube) is the source of this 1140-nucleotide long non-coding RNA. RefSeq lists it as uncharacterized. NCBI's taxonomy places the organism in Eukaryota, Viridiplantae, Streptophyta, Magnoliopsida, Rosales, Rhamnaceae. The record is from RefSeq and is a predicted model, not a curated record. The transcript is spliced from 4 exons.
AAAAAAGCCAAAACAGCUUCCGAACUCCCAACAAAGAAGUAGACCAAACAACAAUGGUGGCUUCACCGACGUCGUUUCCAUCAGCUGUGAGGGUUGUUCGUGCUCUGCAGCCAAUUUCCUUGGACGGUGGUAGCCGGCAGAUCUUUAGAUCCAAACCCACAUCCUUGACGACGGCAGCAAACCCGUCGUUGCGUAUGAAGAAGCCAACCCAUCAUGAAUUCACCACAACAUUCCUAAUUCCCUGUUCCACACGCCGUAUAAUACCCUCCCCAAGGUAAUUGCUCAUAGUAUUGAAUUGGCUAAAGAAAAACAGCAGCACGUCGUGGAGAAUGAGCAUCUGAUGAGGGCCAUCUUGAGUUGUCAUGCUGGUCUUGCGGACCUAUUUCUGAAGCACUCUUAUGCUGGUCCAUUGGAAAUUUACGUAGCUGGGGUCCACGACACUACCCCUAUGAUAGAGGCCACCAAUGAAUUCAUCCAAUCCCAACCAUCUUCAUCAUCCAAGGAUGCUGUUGUGAGGCAAGGACCUUAUUUGGAAAGUCUAAUCCAACGGGCUAUUGAACUCAAGAACGAGUGCGGUGAUAAACUUGUAUUUAUUGAACAAUUGGUUUGUGCUUUCGCACAAGAUGAAAGGUUUGGCAAGCAGUUGAUGGAGGAUUUUCAGAUAUCCCACCAAUUUUUGCAUGAUAGUGUAUUAGUGCUCUACAUCCCAAAACUAGUGUAGCAUCAUUCAUGAAUUCAGUGGCACCCGAAUGUGAUAUGUCACAUUUUUUAACCACUUCAAUACCACCCCUAUAUCACACAAUUGAUGAGGAAAAGCUCGAGGCUUCCUUGAACAAGGAAUAUCCUCGUGGUAGUGUAGCCCCUGUAUACUAUCAGUUAAUCAAACAGAAGAUUGAACAGGGUGAAGCAGAGUACGUGCUAUCUUAAUUUGGAUGUCGGAGAUAUUUAUUAUGAAAAUUUUUAGGCUAUUUAGUUUCCUAGUUUAAUUUAAUUUUUUUUUUUCCUUUCAAUCGGUUGUUUUUUAUAUGAUGACUUUAUAACGCAGGAUUUACUGGAUUAGUGUAAUAGAUAGUUUAUCACUCUUAACUUUUUUUAUGUUUGUUUUUAUUUUUUUAUAAAUAGGCAACAAAAUUUUAUCAA